Molecule: ribosomal RNA, 433 nt
Filed under: uncultured bacterium
Lineage: Bacteria
Description: partial 16S ribosomal RNA
Rfam family: Bacterial small subunit ribosomal RNA
Source: RNAcentral
AACGAACGCUGGCGGCAUGCCUAACACAUGCAAGUCGAACGGGACCUUCGUGUCUGGUGGCGCUCGGGUGCGUAACGCGUGGGAAGCUGCACUUAGGUUCGGAAUAAUUCCCUGAAGGGGGGGCUAAUGCAGGGAAAUGUCUUCGGACAAAGGAUUUGUCGCCUUUGGAUGGGCACGAGUUGGUUUAGCUUGUUGGUAGGGUAAAAGCCGACCAAGGGGAGGAUACAUAGCUGGUUUGAGAGGAUGCUAAGCCACACUGGGAGUGAGCCGCGGCGCAGACUCCUGCGGGAGGGAGCAGUGGGUAAUACUGGACAAUGGGGUAGAGCCUGAUCCAGCAAUGCCGCGUGAGUGAUUAAGUCCGUAGGGUUGUAAAGCUCUUUUACCCGGGAUGAUAAUGACAGUACCGGGAGAAUAAGCUCCGGCUAACUCCGUG